GGUAACCCAAUUAUAGUCCUGUACAAAGUAUACGGCGGUUCGAUCGCAUGAAUAAAAAUCUGGGGCUUGGGACCGAGAAAAGGCCGCGGGUUAGCCCUGUUUCCGGGCCCAAACUUUGACCAAAAUGUCGAACGCCGAACUGGAGAAACUGCAGAUGCAGCUCAGAAAGGAGAUACAGAGCCAUCAGAUUUUGGUGGCAAAAAUGAAGAACGACCCUCAGAAUACAGAACUAAAGAAGCAGUUGCAUGACCAACAAGCUAAAAUAACAACGUUGAGUGAAAAACAGAAAAAAGUUGUGGAGCAGCUACGAUCUGAUCUUGGUAUACAAAAAGAAGUGCCAGCAAAAAAUGAGCAGGUGACAUCCACCCCUCUCACCACAUCCCAGAAUCUCAACAUCCCAAACCGCGUCGUGCCCCCAACCGCGGUCACUAAGACGCCCCCAGGGGCACAGCGUGGGUCCUCCCAGCACCACCAGCACCAGUCCCCAACCACACCAACCCGGAUGUCCAUCUUGACCAACAAGCCCACCAUGGUGACCAUCAAGGUGCCUAAUGUAGCGAGCCGUUUGGCGCAGAGCAAGCACGCACCUACGGGUCAAUCACUACCAAAGGAACCUAGCAGCCCCAGUAACCUGUACAAGAAGCUUACUGCCUUACCAAGGCCCUCCAUGUCCAACCAAGGUGGUGCUAAGAACAAUGCAAGCAAAAAGCCCCUUUCUCCAGAGGAACAGAAACUAGAAUUUAUGGCUUCGCUAGGGCUGAUUACUCAAAAGACAGCAGAGCAGCUCAAGUGUAAAAGGUCCGAAAGGAAAAGACGGAGCACAGCCAACCCUCAGUUCUCCAACUACGACAGACAAGAAAUGGAGAGCCGGCAGUCAGCAACCCGGUUCCUUGCUGCAAACGGGUUUGGUCAAGAAAAACGGAAAAGAGGAAAGCUUCACAAAGGUUCGGAUGGUUCGAUGGACAACGCAGAGAAUAGUCUCAACGGUACACUCCAUAAACAGGAAGUCGAUAAGCACCGGGACCACUGCUCAACCUGUGGUCUGGCCACGGAUGAGCUCCUCAUGUGCGACACCUGUCCCCUGGUGUACCACCUGGGCUGCCUCGAUCCCCCUCUGACCGCCGUACCCCCCGGCAUGUGGAGUUGCCCGCAGUGCAAGUUAAAAGGUUCCCAGUCUGGGAAUUGGCACGGCACGCUAGCCAUCGUCCAUUCCUACGUCCAGCAUCGGACUGUGAAGGAAGAGGAAAAGCGUCGACUGCAGAGGCGAGCAUCGGAGCUGCAGUAUGAGAGGAUACAACUGGAGGAUAAGGCUAGACAACUCAACGAUGCAAUAGCUAAGCAAAUGCAAGCCAGAGACUGCCUGACGGACUCCUUCCGCAAGACAGAAAAGUCUAUCGUACAACUCCAGGGCUUCAUCUCACGCUUCCAGGUUUAACAGUAAACCCUCCCCCGGAACUGCAGUGGAAUGUUCCAACACUGUGCUGCUGCCCACCCAUGGAUUAGCCCAUUGAACCAAAUAAGGUACACCACGUGUUUGGUUUGUGUGGAACCUUAAUGCCUCUACUGGUACUGCCCCAGUACUGCAAUGGAAUGUUCUUGUGCUGCAAAGCACCGUGCUAGUGGAAUCUACCAUUUGUUAUUUUAGGUCAAUUCUUAAAUUUUGGUUUUUAAUUAGGGCAAUAUCUUUCAGAUAUGCAGUCCCCUCCCCCAUUACACCAACUAUUUUUGUUACUAGUGGUGCAUGAUGUUGGUCUCGACAGUACUAACAAUGCCACAUCCCUCGUUAGUCCAGUGGAAUAUUCAAUGAGCUCUCUGUGGCCUACCCAUGGGAUAUACCAUUUAUUAUAGCAGGGUGAAUGUGCAAUGUCAACAGUAUUGCCAAGAGGGGCUCAUAUGGUAUUUCUGCAUGUGAGAUACAUGUAUGUACAUGUACAUGUACUU
RNAcentral lists this unclassified non-coding RNA (1941 nucleotides) under Patiria miniata (bat star). RNAcentral's name for it is "pHD finger protein 21A-like, transcript variant X3". Lineage: Eukaryota; Metazoa; Echinodermata; Asteroidea; Valvatida; Asterinidae. The record is from RNAcentral.